GGCCGGAUGGUGUAGUUGGUUAUCACGUGUCCUUAACAAUUUGUUAUUAUAUCAAUAGUAGCAGCUGUUAUACGGACAAGGUCCUGGGAUCGUGCCCCAGUCUGGUCA
This is a non-coding RNA of Ciborinia camelliae, 108 nucleotides long. Lineage: Eukaryota; Fungi; Ascomycota; Leotiomycetes; Helotiales; Sclerotiniaceae. The record is from the annotation of a GenBank genome assembly.